CGGGCCGUGGUGUAACGGUAACAUUCACGAUUCGGGUUCGUGAGACUCCGGGUUCAAAUCCCGGCGGCCCGA
RNAcentral lists this transfer RNA (72 nucleotides) under Parcubacteria group bacterium RIFOXYD2_FULL_52_8. RNAcentral's name for it is "tRNA-Pro". It matches the Rfam family "tRNA". From Rfam's summary of the family: Transfer RNA (tRNA) molecules are approximately 80 nucleotides in length. Their secondary structure includes four short double-helical elements and three loops (D, anti-codon, and T loops). Further hydrogen bonds mediate the characteristic L-shaped molecular structure. tRNAs have two regions of fundamental functional importance: the anti-codon, which is responsible for specific mRNA codon recognition, and the 3' end, to which the tRNAs corresponding amino acid is attached (by aminoacyl-tRNA synthetases). tRNAs cope with the degeneracy of the genetic code in two manners: having more than one tRNA (with a specific anti-codon) for a particular amino acid; and 'wobble' base-pairing, i.e. permitting non-standard base-pairing at the 3rd anti-codon position. The record is from RNAcentral.